GGGGCUGUAGCUCAGGGGUAGAGCGCUCGCUUCGCAUGCGAGAGGUCCCGGGUUCAAAUCCCGGCAGCUCCA
This 72-nucleotide transfer RNA is filed under the name Rhizomucor miehei CAU432. RNAcentral's name for it is "tRNA-Ala (CGC) (tRNA-Ala-CGC-1-1)". It matches the Rfam family "tRNA". Rfam says of the family: Transfer RNA (tRNA) molecules are approximately 80 nucleotides in length. Their secondary structure includes four short double-helical elements and three loops (D, anti-codon, and T loops). The record is from RNAcentral. Lineage: Eukaryota; Fungi; Mucoromycota; Mucoromycetes; Mucorales; Lichtheimiaceae.